UACGUAGGUGGCGAGCGUUGUCCGGAUUUACUGGGCGUAAAGAGCGUGUAGGCGGCUUUACAGGUCCGUUGUGAAAACUCGAGGCUCAACCUCGAGACGCCGGUGGAAACCGUAAAGCUAGAGUCCGGAAGAGGAGAGUGGAAUUCCUGGUGUAGCGGUGAAAUGCGCAGAUAUCAGGAAGAACACCCGUGGCGAAGGCGGCUCUCUGGGACGGUACUGACGCUGAGACGCGAAAGCGUGGGGAGCAAACAGG
RNAcentral lists this ribosomal RNA (253 nucleotides) under uncultured bacterium. RNAcentral describes it as "partial 16S ribosomal RNA". It matches the Rfam family "Bacterial small subunit ribosomal RNA", at positions 524 to 776 of the family's 1533-position model. The record is from RNAcentral.